Molecule: regulatory RNA element, 100 nt
Organism: Lutispora thermophila DSM 19022
Lineage: Bacteria; Bacillati; Bacillota; Clostridia; Lutisporales; Lutisporaceae
Rfam family: TPP riboswitch aptamer (THI element)
About the family: Vitamin B(1) in its active form thiamin pyrophosphate (TPP) is an essential coenzyme that is synthesised by coupling of pyrimidine and thiazole moieties in bacteria. The previously detected thiamin-regulatory element, thi box was extended, resulting in a new, highly conserved RNA secondary structure, the THI element, which is widely distributed in eubacteria and also occurs in some archaea.
Source: Rfam
UUCAUCAUGCGGGGGAACUGCUUGGCAGUUGAGAAGGUAAAACCUGACCCUUUGAACCUGUUGGUUAAUACCUACGUAGGGAAGCAGUGAAUAUUACAUU